ACUCCCCUCACACCGCUCCCUACAGCUUGUACUCUGCCUCUGACUCUCUUCCAAGAACAAUUUGGCAAGUUCUAAUCUACAUCUUGCAAAAAAAAAACAAAAAACAAAAAACAGAGAGGUAGGAGGGCCACAGCACCUGGGGUCCCAGAAGGCAGACUGACCUAUUCCUACAGCAGGGGUAAGUAACGCAGAAAACCUCCAGGCAAAGAGACAUGGAGAUCUUCGAAAUGGAAUGGGGGGUGGAGGGAGUCACUGGGAGGCAAAAGGUGUGGGACACCUGAGGUUACUGAGACAGGGAACUUGGGAUUCCCUUCUGGGAAAUGACACAGCAUGGCAGCUGUCCUUCUUAUUCAGUCAAGCUACAUUGCCUCAUUAAACCAAAUCACAGCUACAAACCAGUGCCACAUGCCUGGAGGCUGAGUGGACACUCCUGGUCCUCCUCAUGGAGAUAUAUAGCACUCUGAGUUCUGAUCCAGCUCAUCUGUGUGAAGUCCUCAAACAAGCACAUAGUAAGUGCUCCAUAAACUUCAGCUGCUCAUUUUUUUUAAUUAUUACCAUUUUGACCAUCAUUUCUUCGAUUGUUCUUCAUGUGUCUUGUUUCCAGACCAUUAGACUCCCACAGGAGGCUCCUUGGAGCAUGGUCCAGCUAGUUUAUGUCUUGAAGGGGCAGCCAUGCUCCAGGUGCAGUCUUGGGAGCCAUCUGAUCACUGUCCCUUCUUCUGAGCAUCUGCCUGCUGAAGGAGGCUAGGCCAUGUGCUGACAAGCACUAUGGACAGACAGCCCGGGGUCAAGUCCUAGCUCCUCCAUCCCCCAGCUGUGUAACCUGGACCAGGACGAUUGUAUCUCUGACCAAUCUCAGAAUAUAGCUGGAUUACUAGGAGGAAAACUAAGUGAGUGCUUAGAGGCGGGCAAAGUAAGGAUAACCAUUUGUAGAUGAUGUGCUAGAGAUGCUGACCAUCAUUCCUUACUCUUAACAUAAUUAUUAUGAGAAAAAUUAGAACCUCCUCAUUGGACUUCCUUAUUCCUAUGUCGAAGUAUAAUGUUCUGUUUUUACUAACGUAUGGGGGGCGGCACACACAAAGCUUUGCAUGUCUAGGGCCUCUAGGGAUCUCAGCCUGGCCUCGCUAUGAAAUUUCUGCAAGGCCUGUCAAUUCCCUGAUGUAUCACGAGUGUUCCCGAACAAUAAGCUCAUUUACCAGGUCUUGCUGUGACCAGAUAGUUUUUAAUCGCCAUGAUCACUGGGUUGACAGGUUGAGCUUGAGCUCUACCAUAAGCCUGUGUCUUUCCAAAGGCCUGGGGGACCGAAGGCAGAAGCAAGAGCACACGUAGAGAAGGCACCGAGCAAGCGGAUCUGUGCGGUUCUUCGGUUCUAAACAACUUGCGGAAUCCAGGCGGACUCAGGGCCUGUGUGGCCACUGGGCAGGGAAGGUGGUGGUUCCCAGGCCCAUCGAAACCACAAGGAGCACUGACUUCUGUCUCCUGCUAUAGCUUCAGGUGCCAGGUUCACUGGGGUCUUAGAAGUUGGGGCUGGAAGGAGGUGGGCCCAGAGGGUCCCGCUCCUUAAGUGCUGGCUUCAAGAUGGAAGAUAUUAAGACGUUCCAGGGGUCGAUUCUUUUUUCAAGACCCUAAGAUGUUCCAGGCUUCUGUAGAGCAGGCACAGUCCUUGCCCUCCAGGAAUUGUAUCAAUAAAGACACAAAACACUAGAGGCAGAAGCUGCACACAGGCAACCUCCACGCAGAAUCUGCCCACAUCUGUGUUGGUUUGGCCAACAGUGGUUUUUAGAAAGUUGAGUCAGAGUGUCUUUGGGAGGACACCGUAGGUGACUGCAGGUGCCAUGCCCCAUCGUCACUCCAGCAGAUUCACAUAUUGGCAUUACCUGCCUGGUCUCUACAGUCUGGAUGCCAAGUAUGAAGUGUGAAUAUAAAGGCAGCAAACAAGUGUGAUUGGGGCACAAGAAAGGGAUUCGGCUGGGCGCUGUGGCUCACGCCUCUAAUCCCAACAAUUUGGGAGGCUGAGGCAGGCAGAUCACUUGAGGCCAAAAGUUCGAGACCAGCUUGGACAACAUGAAGAAAUCCCGUCUCUACUAAAAAUAUAAAAAUUAGCCGGGUAUGGUGGAAGGCACCUGUAAUCUCAGCUGCUCAGGAGGCUGAGGCAGGAGAAUCGCUUGAACUCAGAAGGCAGAGGUUGCAGUGGGCCAAGAUAACGCCACUGCACUCCAGCCUGGGCGACAAGAGCAAAACUCCAUCUCAAAAAAAAAAAAAAAAAAAAAAAGGGAUUCGAUUCUACCUAAUGCCCAGGGAGGCUCCACAGAGGAGGGGUAUUUCACAAUCCACGUCACCCACCCUGUCACUCCCUUGAUCCCUUCCUUCCUUUUUUCUUUUUAGAGACAAGGUCUCAUUCUGUUGCCCAGGCUGGAGUGCAGUGGUGCAAUCACGGUUCACUGCAACCUGGAACUCCAGGGUUCAAGCAAUCCUCCUGCCUCAGCCUGCCGAGUAGCUGUGACAACAGGUGCGAGCCACCAUGCCCAGCUAAGAUUUCACCAUGUUGCCCAGCUGGUCUUGAACUCCUGGCCUCAAGCAAUUCUCCUGCUUUAGGCUCCCAAGUUGCUGGAAUUACAGGUAUGAGUCACCACCCCUGGCUCUCUUUACAAGUCCUUAGGUAGUGGCCCCAGAACUGACCAAAGAGAAAUGUUAGGAUGUUUUACUCCAGGCCACUGAGUACUUGGAGAAGCCAUUGUGACUCCCUUUUUUGCUCCAAGACAGUGUGCAAUGUACAGGUCCUGCUAUGGGAUGUGGCUUGAGCCCAGUGGCCUGGGAAGGCGGGAGAGAGGGAGGGAGGAAUAGAAAUGGCGGGAAGGUGCGGGACGAAGGGCUGAGCAGGAGGAGAGGAAAGUGAAGGAAGAAAAGGAAAGGAGGGAAGAGAAGCGGGGAGGAGGCAACAGUGACAGCAGCUGACGGGGCUCUGUGCCUGCCUGGGUGGCUAUCCAGUCCUUCCUCUUCCCUCUGACCAUGGACGGACUCCC
RNAcentral lists this long non-coding RNA (3023 nucleotides) under Homo sapiens (human). Its description in RNAcentral is "non-protein coding lnc-IL10RA-1:2". Lineage: Eukaryota; Metazoa; Chordata; Mammalia; Primates; Hominidae. The record is from RNAcentral.